This is an RNA transcript of Rosa chinensis, 2528 nucleotides long. RefSeq lists it as uncharacterized. The transcript has 12 exons. NCBI's taxonomy places the organism in Eukaryota, Viridiplantae, Streptophyta, Magnoliopsida, Rosales, Rosaceae. The record is from RefSeq and is a predicted model, not a curated record.
ACAUCGUGGGCACUGAUCUGAACACCCAUGAUCGUUGGCAUUCAACUUGAAACAGUUGGUGACUUGGUGUCUUCUCCCAUCUAAAACUCCAGAAACCAGACGUUAGACGUCAUCCCUCCUCCCUUGGCCGACUUGAUAAGUUUUGAAUCCUUCGGAUAACAUCAACUUGUGAUAAAGAUGACAUUUAGGAUGAAGCUUGGUUCCUCUAUUUCACUUUGGAGAAGGAGUCUGGACUCCGAGUUCUGUAUAAAUAGGAGUACCCAUUACUUGAUUCUGCAUUCUCCAUCAAGAACGUACAUUGGACAUAAUUUUGAAAGAAGGCAUUGCAGGCGGUGUUCAAACCAUUGCAGCAAACAUGAUUUUGAAGGAAGACGUUGUAGCUUGACCACAUCUUUUCUAGGAGUUAAUAAACAUUUCUGCCACCAUCUUGUGCCAAGUAAAGGAACCAGAGGACUCCCAUCUCUCUUGUAUUCUGUGGCUGCAGUUUAGUGAUCGAGGGUGAGCCGUGUGAAUGCUGCAAACUCUGUGACCACGGAUGAGCCAAGUCAAAUACCCUUCCGCCAAAGAUUGCCAUUUUGCCUUCUGUGAUACCACUCUGAUGAUGACUUUGCUGCAGGUGGAGUAAAUUUCCUUUGGUGCUGCAUAAAGAUUCCUCCAGAGCAGUUUCUUCACUUUGACGCACCGCGAUACAGGCAUCAAAAACAAGUGCAGUGAACCCUCUAGCUUGGACCUUGCUUCCGCCACCUAUACGCAGGACGCACCGCAGUAUAGGCAUCGAAAGAAGGCCGAAAACACCGGUGAGCCCUUUCCCUUGCCAAAAUCUCUCCUCCUCCUUCAUCUCUGUGAAAAUGCUUCUUUUUUGUCUCCUUGGACCUGCACUGUUUGUUAACACAAAGGCAAAUGGAGGUGUAUUUGGUUGUUUUGUUUUCUGAUUUUGGUGGACAACAAUGAGGGAUUUGAGGCUUUGUGAGUUGGUGUUGUUGGCAUAUUUGGACGGAGUAGUUUGUUUGGGGAAUGAAGGGACUGUUUCUGCCUUUCCGGUGCUUAGAAGUAGAGGCAAGUCUGCACUCACGAAGACAUCAGCAAUAACAGAGGAAAAUAGCAACGAAGAUCAUGAAGAAAGGACCAGCAGGAUACCUGAAGAUGAAGUACUCCUGUUGUAAAUUUGUCGUCUCCAGGUUACCAAGUCCUCUGAUUUUGUAUCUAUUGUAGAAGAAAAUCGUACCAAGAUACAUGUAAAGCUAAUAUUUACCGAUGCUGGAAGCAUUUAGAAUCGCCUUGGAGUUGAGAGCCUGAUCGAAUUGUACUUUGGUGGAGGAUGGGAAUAAUGAUCUGCCAAUAUCUGAUAGUAAUCCCAGCUCGACCAACUUCCAAACAGAGAGGAUAAGCACUACAUCUUCCUUCAUCAACAGAAUCUUCCCUGUAGUUUGUCCGCCAAACAAAGACAGCACGAGCUGAAAUGAGUGAACUGUUGACUAGCUUGUUGUCAAAGACGGAUACAUUAACUGCCACCGUACCAGUGACUGUUCCAGGAAUGAAGCUAUUAGCUAGGCAGCUCAUGGCUUCCUCACAUACUGAACUGAACUCCCUAUCAGCUUUAAUUACUUCUGCGGCUUGAUUUCUUAAACAUACAGGAAAUGAUGAUUCUCGGUCAUGUAUAGAGCUGAAAGGAUUCUGGACUUCUCAAGGACAAGAUGAUCCUCACCUCCUCAGGUUAUACAAUUCUUCUAUUUACAUAAUUUGGCAUAUAGUGUAGAUGCUACUACAUUGAAACUUGAAGCAUUAAGAAUGGCAUUGGAGUUUAUGGGAUGCUAAUUUGAUACCGAGGUUGGAGUAGCUUAGUCAGGCAGCUGAGCAUCUUAUCUAAUUAUGUAUAUAUUGUAGAUGAGAAUCGCACCAGGCUACUUGUACUGCUCAUAUUGAAGCUUGAUGCAUUCAGAAUGGCAUCAGACUAUCAGAGUUUGAAAAUCUUUUGGUUAAUCACAUGGGCCGAUGAUGGAGCUGAGUCAAGAGCAUCUCUUCCAAGCGUCUGGACUUUAUUAGAGUUAUUGGGAAGAGGAUGGGGCAAAUGAGCAUGCAUCCAAUACUUGAUCGGAAGUCAAACUGCUAUUCGUCAAGUUCCUAAACUCUGAAAUUCACCCUCUCAGUCUACUUCACAAGUUUCCUGAACCAGCUCUGAGUAGAGAGGGUCUUGGGGAAGGAUGGAAAGGGUUUGUGUACUCUUUACAAGAGGUUUAUGACAAGAAUGGUGCUUUGGAGAAGAUACGGAGCUUGAAUGGUCACGAUGAUGGCAACUCGAUUUACGAAUCUGUUGUGGUGUUCCACAGCAGAGGUGAGGAAAAAGACGGAUGCCGAGUCGGAGAGAAGAUUUGCUCAGUUUAGGUAGGCAGUCUGUGAGUUUGGUAACUAGUUGCAUUAUGACUAGUGAGUAGUUGUAAUCACCUAUUGAUUUACUGUCAUUUUGAUCGACAUUUUAUGUAAUUACUCAGUAUUCAGUAUUCUACUUAUCAGGCUUUUGCAUGAAAUUA